CCUACGGGAGGCAGCAGUGAGGAAUAUUGGUCAAUGGACGAGAGUCUGAACCAGCCAAGUAGCGUGAAGUAUGACUGCCCUAUGGGUUGUAAACUUCUUUUAUAUGGGAAUAAAAUGUUCCACGUGUGGGCUUUUGUAUGUACCAUAUGAAUAUGGAUCGGCUAACUCCGUGCCAGCAGCCGCGGUAAUACGGAGGAUCCGAGCGUUAUCCGGAUUUAUUGGUUUUAAAGGGAGCGUAGGUGGGUUGUUAAGUCAGUUGUGAAAGUUUGCGGGUCAACCGUAACAUUGCAGUUGAAACUGGCAGUCUUGAGUACAGUAGAGGUGGGCGGAAUUCGUGGUGUAGCGGUGAAAUGCUUAGAUAUCACGAAGAACUCCGAGUGCGAAGGCAGCUCACUGGACUGCAACUGACACUGAGGCUCGAAAGUGUGGGUAUCAAACAGGAUUAGAUACCCUAGUAGUC
Molecule: ribosomal RNA, 460 nt
Filed under: uncultured bacterium
Lineage: Bacteria
Description: partial 16S ribosomal RNA
Rfam family: Bacterial small subunit ribosomal RNA
Source: RNAcentral